RNAcentral lists this ribosomal RNA (2893 nucleotides) under Escherichia coli. RNAcentral describes it as "bacterial LSU rRNA". It matches the Rfam family "Bacterial large subunit ribosomal RNA". Lineage: Bacteria; Pseudomonadati; Pseudomonadota; Gammaproteobacteria; Enterobacterales; Enterobacteriaceae. The record is from RNAcentral.
ACUAAGCGUACACGGUGGAUGCCCUGGCAGUCAGAGGCGAUGAAGGACGUGCUAAUCUGCGAUAAGCGUCGGUAAGGUGAUAUGAACCGUUAUAACCGGCGAUUUCCGAAUGGGGAAACCCAGUGUGAUUCGUCACACUAUCAUUAACUGAAUCCAUAGGUUAAUGAGGCGAACCGGGGGAACUGAAACAUCUAAGUACCCCGAGGAAAAGAAAUCAACCGAGAUUCCCCCAGUAGCGGCGAGCGAACGGGGAGCAGCCCAGAGCCUGAAUCAGUGUGUGUGUUAGUGGAAGCGUCUGGAAAGGCGCGCGAUACAGGGUGACAGCCCCGUACACAAAAAUGCACAUGCUGUGAGCUCGAUGAGUAGGGCGGGACACGUGGUAUCCUGUCUGAAUAUGGGGGGACCAUCCUCCAAGGCUAAAUACUCCUGACUGACCGAUAGUGAAGCAGUACCGUGAGGGAAAGGCGAAAAGAACCCCGGCGAGGGGAGUGAAAAAGAACCUGAAACCGUGUACGUACAAGCAGUGGGAGCACGCUUAGGCGUGUGACUGCGUACCUUUUGUAUAAUGGGUCAGCGACUUAUAUUCUGUAGCAAGGUUAACCGAAUAGGGGAGCCGAAGGGAAACCGAGUCUUAACUGGGCGUUAAGUUGCAGGGUAUAGACCCGAAACCCGGUGAUCUAGCCAUGGGCAGGUUGAAGGUUGGGUAACACUAACUGGAGGACCGAACCGACUAAUGUUGAAAAAUUAGCGGAUGACUUGUGGCUGGGGGUGAAAGGCCAAUCAAACCGGGAGAUAGCUGGUUCUCCCCGAAAGCUAUUUAGGUAGCGCCUCGUGAAUUCAUCUCCGGGGGUAGAGCACUGUUUCGGCAAGGGGGUCAUCCCGACUUACCAACCCGAUGCAAACUGCGAAUACCGGAGAAUGUUAUCACGGGAGACACACGGCGGGUGCUAACGUCCGUCGUGAAGAGGGAAACAACCCAGACCGCCAGCUAAGGUCCCAAAGUCAUGGUUAAGUGGGAAACGAUGUGGGAAGGCCCAGACAGCCAGGAUGUUGGCUUAGAAGCAGCCAUCAUUUAAAGAAAGCGUAAUAGCUCACUGGUCGAGUCGGCCUGCGCGGAAGAUGUAACGGGGCUAAACCAUGCACCGAAGCUGCGGCAGCGACGCUGAUGCGUUGUUGGGUAGGGGAGCGUUCUGUAAGCCUGUGAAGGUGUGCUGUGAGGCAUGCUGGAGGUAUCAGAAGUGCGAAUGCUGACAUAAGUAACGAUAAAGCGGGUGAAAAGCCCGCUCGCCGGAAGACCAAGGGUUCCUGUCCAACGUUAAUCGGGGCAGGGUGAGUCGACCCCUAAGGCGAGGCCGAAAGGCGUAGUCGAUGGGAAACAGGUUAAUAUUCCUGUACUUGGUGUUACUGCGAAGGGGGGACGGAGAAGGCUAUGUUGGCCGGGCGACGGUUGUCCCGGUUUAAGCGUGUAGGCUGGUUUUCCAGGCAAAUCCGGAAAACUAAGGCUGAGGCGUGAUGACGAGGCACUACGGUGCUGAAGCAACAAAUGCCCUGCUUCCAGGAAAAGCCUCUAAGCAUCAGGUAACAUCAAAUCGUACCCCAAACCGACACAGGUGGUCAGGUAGAGAAUACCAAGGCGCUUGAGAGAACUCGGGUGAAGGAACUAGGCAAAAUGGUGCCGUAACUUCGGGAGAAGGCACGCUGAUAUGUAGGUGAAGUCCCUCGCGGAUGGAGCUGAAAUCAGUCGAAGAUACCAGCUGGCUGCAACUGUUUAUUAAAAACACAGCACUGUGCAAACACGAAAGUGGACGUAUACGGUGUGACGCCUGCCCGGUGCCGGAAGGUUAAUUGAUGGGGUUAGCGCAAGCGAAGCUCUUGAUCGAAGCCCCGGUAAACGGCGGCCGUAACUAUAACGGUCCUAAGGUAGCGAAAUUCCUUGUCGGGUAAGUUCCGACCUGCACGAAUGGCGUAAUGAUGGCCAGGCUGUCUCCACCCGAGACUCAGUGAAAUUGAACUCGCUGUGAAGAUGCAGUGUACCCGCGGCAAGACGGAAAGACCCCGUGAACCUUUACUAUAGCUUGACACUGAACAUUGAGCCUUGAUGUGUAGGAUAGGUGGGAGGCUUUGAAGUGUGGACGCCAGUCUGCAUGGAGCCGACCUUGAAAUACCACCCUUUAAUGUUUGAUGUUCUAACGUUGACCCGUAAUCCGGGUUGCGGACAGUGUCUGGUGGGUAGUUUGACUGGGGCGGUCUCCUCCUAAAGAGUAACGGAGGAGCACGAAGGUUGGCUAAUCCUGGUCGGACAUCAGGAGGUUAGUGCAAUGGCAUAAGCCAGCUUGACUGCGAGCGUGACGGCGCGAGCAGGUGCGAAAGCAGGUCAUAGUGAUCCGGUGGUUCUGAAUGGAAGGGCCAUCGCUCAACGGAUAAAAGGUACUCCGGGGAUAACAGGCUGAUACCGCCCAAGAGUUCAUAUCGACGGCGGUGUUUGGCACCUCGAUGUCGGCUCAUCACAUCCUGGGGCUGAAGUAGGUCCCAAGGGUAUGGCUGUUCGCCAUUUAAAGUGGUACGCGAGCUGGGUUUAGAACGUCGUGAGACAGUUCGGUCCCUAUCUGCCGUGGGCGCUGGAGAACUGAGGGGGGCUGCUCCUAGUACGAGAGGACCGGAGUGGACGCAUCACUGGUGUUCGGGUUGUCAUGCCAAUGGCACUGUCCGGUAGCUAAAUGCGGAAGAGAUAAGUGCUGAAAGCAUCUAAGCACGAAACUUGCCCCGAGAUGAGUUCUCCCUGACUCCUUGAGAGUCCUGAAGGAACGUUGAAGACGACGACGUUGAUAGGCCGGGUGUGUAAGCGCAGCGAUGCGUUGAGCUAACCGGUACUAAUGAACCGUGAGGCUUAACC